CAGCCGCCGCGGUAAUACGUAGGUGGCAAGCGUUGUCCGGAAUUAUUGGGCGUAAAGGGCCCGCAGGCGGUUUCUUAAGUCUGAUGUGAAAGCCCCCGGCUCAACCGGGGAGGGUCAUUGGAAACUGGGAAACUUGAGUGCAGAAGAGGAGAGUGGAAUUCCACGUGUAGCGGUGAAAUGCGUAGAGAUGUGGAGGAACACCAGUGGCGAAGGCGACUCUCUGGUCUGUAACUGACGCUGAGGAGCGAAAGCGUGGGGAGCGAACAGGAUUAGAUACCCCGGUAGUCCCUGUCUCUUAUAC
This 301-nucleotide ribosomal RNA is filed under the name uncultured bacterium. Its description in RNAcentral is "partial 16S ribosomal RNA". It matches the Rfam family "Bacterial small subunit ribosomal RNA", at positions 509 to 807 of the family's 1533-position model. The record is from RNAcentral.